This 497-nucleotide ribosomal RNA is filed under the name uncultured bacterium. RNAcentral describes it as "partial 16S ribosomal RNA". It matches the Rfam family "Bacterial small subunit ribosomal RNA", at positions 28 to 507 of the family's 1533-position model. The record is from RNAcentral.
GAUGAACGCUGGCGGCGUGCCUAAUACAUGCAAGUCGAGCGAACGGACGAGAAGCUUGCUUCUCUGAUGUUAGCGGCGGACGGGUGAGUAACACGUGGAUAACCUACCUAUAAGACUGGGAUAACUUCGGGAAACCGGAGCUAAUACCGGAUAAUAUUUUGAACCGCAUGGUUCAAAAGUGAAAGACGGUCUUGCUGUCACUUAUAGAUGGAUCCGCGCUGCAUUAGCUAGUUGGUAAGGUAACGGCUUACCAAGGCAACGAUGCAUAGCCGACCUGAGAGGGUGAUCGGCCACACUGGAACUGAGACACGGUCCAGACUCCUACGGGAGGCAGCAGUAGGGAAUCUUCCGCAACGGGCGAAAGCCUGACGGAGCAACGCCGCGUGAGUGAUGAAGGCCUUCGGAUCGUAAAACUCUGUUAUUAGGGAAGAACAUAUGUGUAAGUAACUGUGCACAUCUUGACGGUACCUAAUCAGAAAGCCACGGCUAACUACGUG